CCUACGGGAGGCAGCAGUGAGGAAUAUUGGUCAAUGGACGGAAGUCUGAACCAGCCAUGCCGCGUGCAGGAAGACGGCUCUAUGAGUUGUAAACUGCUUUUGUACAAGGGUAAACCUGAAUACGUGUAUUCAGCUGAAAGUACUGUACGAAUAAGGAUCGGCUAACUCCGUGCCCGCAGCCGCGGUAAUACGGAGGAUCGCAGCGUUAUCCGGGUUUAUUGGGUUUAAAGGGGUCGUGGGCGGAUAGUUAAGGUCGAGGGGAAAUGUGCGGGGUUAACUCGGGAACUGCCUCUAAUACUGUUGAUCUAGAGAGUAGAUGCGGUAGGCGGAAUGUAUGGUGUAGCGGUGAAAUGCUUAGAGAUCAUACAGAACACCGAUUGCGAAGGCAGCUUACCAAUCUAUAUCUGACGUUGAGGCACGAAAGCGUGGGGAGCAAACAGGAUUAGAUACCCCAGUAGUC
Molecule: ribosomal RNA, 460 nt
Filed under: uncultured bacterium
Lineage: Bacteria
Description: partial 16S ribosomal RNA
Rfam family: Bacterial small subunit ribosomal RNA
Source: RNAcentral